CCUACGGGUGGCUGCAGUGGGGAAUAUUGGACAAUGGGGGGAACCCUGAUCCAGCCAUGCCGCGUGUGUGAAGAAGGCCCUCGGGUUGUAAAGCACUUUCAGUGAGGAAGAACGCCUGGUGGUUAAUACCCAUCAGGAAAGACAUCACUCACAGAAGAAGCACCGGCUAACUCCGUGCCAGCAGCCGCGGUAAUACGGGAGGGUGCGAGCGUUAAUCGGAAUUACUGGGCGUAAAGCGCGCGUAGGUGGCUUGAUAAGCCGGUUGUGAAAGCCCCGGGCUCAACCUGGGAACGGCAUCCGGAACUGUCAAGCUAGAGUGCAGGAGAGGAAGGUAGAAUUCCCGGUGUAGCGGUGAAAUGCGUAGAGAUCGGGAGGAAUACCAGUGGCGAAGGCGGCCUUCUGGACUGACACUGACACUGAGGUGCGAAAGCGUGGGUAGCAAACAGGAUUAGAUACCCGAGUAGUC
RNAcentral lists this ribosomal RNA (466 nucleotides) under Vreelandella stevensii. RNAcentral's name for it is "partial 16S ribosomal RNA". It matches the Rfam family "Bacterial small subunit ribosomal RNA", at positions 338 to 795 of the family's 1533-position model. The record is from RNAcentral. Lineage: Bacteria; Pseudomonadati; Pseudomonadota; Gammaproteobacteria; Oceanospirillales; Halomonadaceae.